UGAUGCAGGUGGAACUUUAAGAGCAAGGAUGGAUGGGAGAUAAGAUAGGAUGAAGCACAGUAUUUGUAAGUGUACAGUUGUGUUUUGGGUAUCAGCAACCUUUAGCCUAUGGAAGAAGUCAAGAAGACCAGAGCUGCAAUUUUAGGAUUUAGGUGAAAAUCUGGAGAAGAUACAGAAGAAUAGAAUGUUGAGUUCUAGUAUGGCUUAAAAAGCUGGUCAGAGGUGAUCUCUAGUGUCCUUGAGAAUGCUUUGAAUUAUCUGAGUGUUAAUUUCUAGCAUUAGUACAUAAAACAAGGUCCUUUUCAAAGGAAUACUCUCCUUAGGACAACUCUCAUUGACGUCUUAUCCAAAGGAGUUAUAGUAUCCUCAUGGAUUCUAAUUGGGUGGGGGAUGAGAUGACCUGUGAGAUUAAGAGGUCAAAUGGUUUACAGACUCUUCCCCUGUCAAAGUUGUUCACAGCCUAAAAAUGUCUGAAAUUGGGUAUG
This 485-nucleotide long non-coding RNA is filed under the name Bos taurus (domestic cattle). RNAcentral describes it as "long non-coding RNA NONBTAT001929". The record is from RNAcentral. Lineage: Eukaryota; Metazoa; Chordata; Mammalia; Artiodactyla; Bovidae.